Haplochromis burtoni (Burton's mouthbrooder) is the source of this 1840-nucleotide long non-coding RNA. RefSeq lists it as uncharacterized. The record is from RefSeq and is a predicted model, not a curated record. The transcript has 3 exons. NCBI's taxonomy places the organism in Eukaryota, Metazoa, Chordata, Actinopteri, Cichliformes, Cichlidae.
UGGAAAUGAGAUCGCACAUAAGUAUGAAUCGAGAUCGCGAUUUUCUAAUGAUUAAUCGUGCAGCCCUAACCAACAGUACCAUCCGGUGAAGUGCCACCGACAGCGUGGGGGCGGGGGGGAUGACACGCUGGCACAGCUGCAGCCCCCAUCAGCCGCUCCAGUACAGCGGUGUCCCACUCCAAGUGGUCCCGCAAUACCCCCAGCUGCUCCUCCUGCUGUGCAGACAUCACCUGGCCCACAAUCUGGAGCGGGCGGAGUGACUGGGGGUCCGACAUAGCACCAAGAUUUCAGCACCACUGUGGUAAGGACCCCACGCACACACACAGUUGGCAGUUUACUCUGUUAUCUUUUAUUAUCUGUGGGCAGCAGAUGCUGUUGUUUCGGUGCUCUGCACGCUGGAACAGUCUCUCCAAGGCUGCUGCCACACACACGUCCUUCUGCUCCACUGUCACUGGAAAACCCCCAAAAGAUAGCAGUGUCAUUUAACCUGACCCAGCAUACCUGUUUCAAACACACCCCCGUGCCGCUCCUGCGAGCUCACUGUGCUACCCCUCCUCUACAACAGGCCAGAGACCACUGUAUGGUCUGCAGUGGUGAGAAUUACAGAGGAAGAAUCUCCACCACUGAAAACAGCUUCACCUGAAAGUUAAACACUGCUGUAAUUUAAUUUAGUUUCAUAAAACAUCACAGAACUCAGAUCAGAUAAAUAAUUUACAUUAAGAAAUUUGUGAUAACCAUCAAUAAAUCUAUUUCUUUUUCUUUUCUUUUCUAGACUAUCUUCUUGAGUGUGUAAAUGGAAUAGGAAGAGAUUAUAGAGGAACAAAGUCCAGAACAAACUCAGGAAAGAUCUGUCAAAGAUGGGACUCAAGCUACCCACACAGGCCAAAGUUCACGCCGCAGAGCCACCCACAAGCAGAUUUGGAGUCUAACUUCUGCAGAAACCCUGAUGGGGACAGCAAUGGACCGUGGUGUUACACUACGGAUCCUAAUGCCCGCUGGGAGCACUGCAACGUACCUAGUUGCUCUGGGUGACAGAGGUGGUCCUCCGGUUUGUUAUGAGCAGAACAGAUUUGUCCUUCAGGGUGUCGCAACAUGGACUGAGUGAUGUACGUUGGGCAGGACGGCCAGUGUUUACACUCAAGUUUCUAAGUUUGUGGACUGGAUCGAUGCAACCAUCAAAGCCAACUAAAAGCCAUCAUCCGUAAUGCGGUUGUUGAGGAUGUCUUAACAUGUAUACUUUGUUCUGCUCUGACAUGAACGUUUUUAUCAAGUAUUUUUUAUUAAGUAUGGAUACACAUUAAGUAGUGCAUGAAAAUCACAAAUUCUGCCAGAGAAGAAAAAUACAAGUUAAACAAAAUCAGAAAAUCACACUUUAUACAAGAUGUUCUGAUUUAAAAAAGAUUCUAUUUAUUAUUUUAUAUUAUAAUAUUUGGUGAUUGACAAAAACUGAGUUUUGAAGAGAAAUGUAGGAAAAGUUUUCCUAAGAAAAUGAAUAAGAACGAGCACGUUGAAAUUGGAUGUUCAUGUGGGAUUGAACUAAUGACAAAUGUAUGUGAACUAAAAUAGCAAAAACUUAAUGUUAACUUAAAGUGUAUUCAUAUGUGGCUGAAUGUUUAUCUGUGUUGGAAUUAGUGACAAUUAAGUACAAGAUAGAAGAGAAGAAAAUGUAAUGUAAGUCAAUUUAAAGUGUAAACUUUGUUUUACAUUAUGAAAAAGCCAGAGAAAGGAAUGAUGAUACGAUGUUACUGGACAUCAGGUGAUGGUAUGUCAACAAUGGAGACUGCUUUCUUUGCAAAAGAAAACAGCAUGUGCAUCAAAAUAAACUAUUUAAAGCAGUGAA